CAAUUCAUUCGGUCCAAGUAUUUUCUAUCUAUUCAAUUUUUUUCCCCAUUUAAUUAGCAUCGACGAACAGUGAUUGAGUUGUAAAUUUUGAUCCUUUCAUGCUUUAAUCUUAAGCUUUGAAUUGGUGAAAGAAACCCAUGCUCCAACUUGUGUGGUUAUAUGUUUAAUAAAGGAAUAAUUAGGCUAUGAAUUUGUGAAUUUUAGUUUUCAUCUGCACCAUUUUGCAUCUCUCUGUUUCUUCAUUUCACCUCACUCAACACAAGAAAAUUUUUAGCCCUCACAGCCUUCAAUCAAACACACAACCCUAAGCCGACAACAAGAAUAGAAGCAAAAACAGGCCCAUAUUUGCAAUUUUCUUUACAAUCAAUUUCUUGAUCUGGGUUUUGUUUGGACUCGAAGAAUCACAACUAGAAACUGAUUUUGCAGUCUCCAAGCUGGAUUUUCCAUCUGGAUUUUGUUUGGAAUCGAAUAAAAACUCCGACUUUGAAGUUGGAUUUGAAUCUUUGAAAUCCGGGUGGCUGGAAUUCGGUGGUGGAGGUUGGCAGUGAAUUUUGAGGAGGAUUGUGUUGGAAGAGAUAGAAUCCCUUUUUGCCUAACGUUAUGGUGUGUUCUUAAUUUGAUGGUUAACUUUUGUCAUGACCGGCUAUAGAUGAGAAUUUCUCCCAUUGACACAUGUUGGCGACCAGACUCCAACCGUCUAAAACCAGUUUCAUUUUAUUGAAACUUGUCCUACAUCAAGAAUACUGACCCCCAAA
Molecule: long non-coding RNA, 755 nt
Filed under: Citrus x clementina
Lineage: Eukaryota; Viridiplantae; Streptophyta; Magnoliopsida; Sapindales; Rutaceae
Description: Citrus clementina (C. clementina) long non-coding RNA (CCLE_LNC004554)
Source: RNAcentral